ACUAUUUUGGCAGAUUAGUGCAAUAAAUUUAGAAUUUAUAUAUGUAAAUUAUUUUACAAAUAGUA
This 65-nucleotide transfer RNA is filed under the name Anthalia sp. YD3030. RNAcentral's name for it is "tRNA-Leu". The record is from RNAcentral. Lineage: Eukaryota; Metazoa; Arthropoda; Insecta; Diptera; Hybotidae.